AGACACACAGGGACCUCAGAACAAAGAUAAGGCAUCACGGACACCACACCGGGCACGAGCUCACAGCAGCUCAUGUGCUGCGCUCCCAGCGUAGAGACACCACGGUGAUACCAGUCUCCAAGGAGCAUGUCACCGUCUACCUGGGCUUGCAUGAUGUGCGAGACAAAUCGGGGGCAGUCAACAGCUCAGCUGCCCGAGUGGUGCUCCACCCAGACUUCAACAUCCAAAACUACAACCACGAUAUAGCUCUGGUGCAGCUGCAGGAGCCUGUGCCCCUGGGACCCCACGUUAUGCCUGUCUGCCUGCCAAGGCUUGAGCCUGAAGGCCCGGCCCCCCACAUGCUGGGCCUGGUGGCCGGCUGGGGCAUCUCCAAUCCCAAUGUGACAGUGGAUGAGAUCAUCAGCAGUGGCACACGGACCUUGUCAGAUGUCCUGCAGUAUGUCAAGUUACCCGUGGUGCCUCACGCUGAGUGCAAAACUAGCUAUGAGUCCCGCUCGGGCAAUUACAGCGUCACGGAGAACAUGUUCUGUGCUGGCUACUACGAGGGCGGCAAAGACACGUGCCUUGGAGAUAGCGGUGGGGCCUUU
RNAcentral lists this unclassified non-coding RNA (587 nucleotides) under Homo sapiens (human). RNAcentral describes it as "MBL associated serine protease 1 (ENSG00000291559.1)". Lineage: Eukaryota; Metazoa; Chordata; Mammalia; Primates; Hominidae. The record is from RNAcentral.